RNAcentral lists this non-coding RNA (31 nucleotides) under Mus musculus (house mouse). Lineage: Eukaryota; Metazoa; Chordata; Mammalia; Rodentia; Muridae. The record is from RNAcentral.
UCAACUCUUAAUAUAGACCCUGCACAGCCUG